CGUAGCCCGCUGGCACUAAGCAUAUCAUAUCGUAGGAGAAGAAACAACAGGAUUCGCCUUAGUACUGCGAGUGAAGCGGCAAAAGCUCAAAUUUGAAAUCUGGCUCUUUCGGAGUCCGAGUUGUAAUUUGAAGAAGGUAUCUUUGGGUCUGGCUCUUGUCUAUGUUUCUUGGAACAGAACGUCACAAAGGGUGAGAAUCCCGUGCGAUGAGAUGAUCCAGGCCUUUUUAAAGUUCCUUCCAAAAGUCGAGUUGUUUGGGAAUGCAGCUCUAAAGGGGUGGUAAAUUCCUUCUAAAGCUAAAUAUUGGCGAGAAACCGAUGGCGAACAAGUACCGUGGUGGAAAAAUGAAAAAAACUUUGAAAAAAAAAUGAAAAAGUACUUGAAAUUGUUGAAAGGGAAGGACUUGAGAUCAAACUUGGUAUUUUGGAUGUUGCUUCUUCGGGGGUGGCCUCUACAGUUUACCGGGCCAGCAUCAGUUUGGGCGGUAGGAGAAUUGCGUUGGAAUGUGGCACGACCUCCGUUGUGUGGUAUAACCUUCGCAGAUACUGCCGCCUAGACUGACGACUGCGCUUUUAUCCCUAGGAUGUUGGCAUAUCGAUCUCAAGUCUCCCGUCUUGAAACACGGACCAGGGAGUCUAACCUCUAUGUCGAGUGUUUGGGUGUUAAACCGGUACGCAUAUUGACAGUGAUCGUAGGUGGGGGCCCUUAUGGGUGCACCAUCGACCGAGCCUGAUGUCUGCGGAUGGAUUUGAGUAAGAGCAUAGCUGUUGGGACACGAAAGAUGGUGAACUAUGCCUGAAUAGGCUGAAGCCAGAGGAAACUCUGGUGGACGCUCGUAGAGUUCUGACGAGCUAAUCGAUCGUCGAAUUGGGGUAUAAGGACGAACGACUAAUCGAACAUCUGAGUAGCUGGGUACUGACGAACUCCACCCUCAGGAGUC
RNAcentral lists this ribosomal RNA (940 nucleotides) under [Candida] sp. Its description in RNAcentral is "partial large subunit ribosomal RNA". It matches the Rfam family "Eukaryotic large subunit ribosomal RNA", at positions 24 to 983 of the family's 3401-position model. Lineage: Eukaryota; Fungi; Ascomycota; Saccharomycetes; Saccharomycetales. The record is from RNAcentral.